This 107-nucleotide ribosomal RNA is filed under the name Jaculus jaculus (lesser Egyptian jerboa). Lineage: Eukaryota; Metazoa; Chordata; Mammalia; Rodentia; Dipodidae. The record is from RNAcentral.
CUAUAGCCAUACCUGAAUGUGCCCGAUCUUGUUUGAUCUUGGAAGCCAAAGAAAGGCCAGGCCUGGUUAUUACUUGGAUAGUAGGAGGGAACAGGAGCUCAUGUAGC